Molecule: long non-coding RNA, 554 nt
Organism: Cephus cinctus (wheat stem sawfly)
Lineage: Eukaryota; Metazoa; Arthropoda; Insecta; Hymenoptera; Cephidae
Exons: 3
Source: RefSeq, a predicted model, not a curated record
UACAGUAGAGGUUAGGUGCUAGCUGCUAUAUACGAAUAGGCAAUAAACCUCAUAUACAAGAGUAAGGGUGUGCUCUGCCUAUUCCCGAUAAGACCUGAAAGAGAGAGAGGACAAAGUACCAGGUGCGCCGAGGAUGACGACGACGAACGUCAAGGUAGCCCCGAGGCCGAUCUAGUUAGCAAAAACACAAAAUUUUAAAAUCCCCUUCCUGAAGGCGUGCCAGGUUGGCUGCAGUGAAAAUUCGCUUUUUCUUCCAUAUGAUUCAUGCAGGCGACCGAAUACGGUGACUGACAACGGAAUGAGACAUCUUUCUCGUCCGAGGAAAGAACAAAGGAACGGAGCACCGAGGGAAACGAACGACCAGUGGAAAUUUUGUGACGCCAAGCGAUUUUAGUCGUCGGAGGAAUCAGAAGGAUGAAACGAUGAAACAUGUAUUGCUUGGCAACGUUGACCCGGCGCGAACUUUGAACUGUCUUUUAUUCCCCUCCGGCGAUUUACACUUGACUGAUCAUGGCUUAAGAGUCAUGCAGAUAAAUAUAUGUAUAACGAAUAUU